GUCUACUGCCAUACCACCCUGAACGUGCCCGAUCUCCUCUGAUCUCGGAAGCUAAGCAGGGUUGGGCCUGGUUAGUACUUGGAUGGGAGACCGCCUGGGAAUACCAGGUGCUGUAAGCU
This 119-nucleotide ribosomal RNA is filed under the name Mustela putorius furo (domestic ferret). Lineage: Eukaryota; Metazoa; Chordata; Mammalia; Carnivora; Mustelidae. The record is from RNAcentral.